GACGAACGCUGGCGGCGUGCUUAACACAUGCAAGUCGAACGAAGUGGCGAACGGGUGAGUAACGCGUAAUCAACCUGCCCUUCAAAGGGGGACAACAGUGGGAAACGACUGCUAAUACCGCAUACUGAAGGUGGGGAUUGCGUCUGAUUAGCUAGUUGGGGGGGUAACGGCCCUCCAAGGCGAUGAUCAGUAGCCGGUUCGGAGGGAGGAACGGCCAACACGGGACCGAGAAACGGCCCAGACUCCUACGGGAGGCAGCCGUGGGGAAUCUUCCGCAAUGGACGAAAGUCUGACGGAGCAACGGCGCGUUAGUGAUGACGGCUUUCGGGUUGUAAAGCUAUGUUAAUCGGGACGCGGUACCGGAAUAGAAAGCAACGGCUAACUACGUGCCAGCAGCCGCGGUAAUUC
RNAcentral lists this ribosomal RNA (408 nucleotides) under uncultured bacterium. RNAcentral's name for it is "partial 16S ribosomal RNA". It matches the Rfam family "Bacterial small subunit ribosomal RNA", at positions 28 to 526 of the family's 1533-position model. The record is from RNAcentral.